Lolium rigidum is the source of this 1588-nucleotide long non-coding RNA. RefSeq lists it as uncharacterized. The transcript has 7 exons. The record is from RefSeq and is a predicted model, not a curated record. NCBI's taxonomy places the organism in Eukaryota, Viridiplantae, Streptophyta, Magnoliopsida, Poales, Poaceae.
GAAGGAAGAGGGCCUCCACGGGGCUGCCAGCAGGGUCAGCGGCCUCCUCUGCGGUAGAGACGGCGGGGCAUGCUGCUGCGGCAUCAUCUCUUAUCCCGGCAAAGCCGGCGACCUCCUCAACAAUGAGUCGGCAGGAAGGCUGCUGCUGCUUCAUCCAUGGCAGUCUCCACGGGGGAUCCCGCCGCGGUGAAUGCGUGGUGGAUGGGCGAGCUGCUUCUGUUGGUUUAUCGAAGAUGACCCUAUUUGACAUAAAUUUACCAAAACUUUGAGUCAAAGGACGGGAAGAGGAGGGAGGUAGCAGUGUGCGUGCCGGCAGAGGAGGUGACAGGAAAGAGUGCCGCUGAUGAUGGCAUGGUGAGGGGCGACGAGAUGGAGGCGGUCUUUGGCAUGUUAGCACAUCAAGAUGCGACGCCCGCUCCUAUCCGUUUGUUGUUCUAUCCGAUGAGAUGCUCACAUGCGAGAGAUCUGUCCUAGCAAGAACCCGGUAGGGCUAGGAUACUCUGAUGGUAUUGCUCUCCUCUUUACCCUUUGCAUUGCCUGCUGUUGUUACUGAUUCAGCCACCCUACUUUCAUUUAUUUCUGUGACUUGCAUGCAGAUUCAUCAGGCUGGAUAUUGUGUGGGUGGGCAUUAAAACUUCCCCAGUUAUUCAGAACUAAAUUCUUGGAUGUUAACCCGUUGUCUUUCUCGGGUUAUUUAGCGAGCUCUGUACAUCUAUGUCCUUUUUUUCGGCCAGAGCCCCUUUCCCUGUCUUUCCACUGGAACAUUAUCAAAUUAGCGUUUACAGCUAAUGGUAAGGUUCUACAUACCAAAGUAACUAUACCUUCUACUGGAUCAAGCCAAGACAGAAUUCAUUAGAGAUAAUAUUAUAGUUAAGAAGCCGAACGAUGCAAAGGCCAAACGAUGCUGGACUAGAGUUGCCUGAUCUGAUUGACAUGGUAUGCAAGAGCAUGCCUGAUGCCCAACAAAAAGAAAUGAGGAAACAUCUGUGGAGGACGAUAGAUAGUUCGAACUCAAGAUAUUUUGCAGGCUCUGUGAGAAGAAUAGCUUGACUUGAGAAGUGCAUAUCUCAAAUGAGCAAGGCAAAACUAUAAAAGUUGUAGUGAUUUGGAUAAGGUCCGAAGCUAUAGUUCCUACAGAAGCUCAGGAUAAUUUCUAGGAGAGGGAUGAAAACCCUUGAGCACGAUGAAAAUGGAGAACAAACUUUAAAGACAAGAAACAUAAGUGUACAAAGAUGUGCUUGAUAAUCUCUGGACGAUAUAAGUCAAUGUGUGUGUGUACAUCUUCAUUGCUUAGUUUGGAACAUUCCACUACUAUGUACAGAGCAUAACCUAACUACUCGGUAUUAAUUGUAGAAUCAGAACUAUGUUCAAGGCCUCAGCCCGAAGCUGAUGCAACUGAUGGUUACAGAUUUUCGGUGCUUAAACGAUCUAUGAGUAAUAGAUCCCUUGCAAACAUAAUGGACUUAGGCUAGACAGAAUAACCAUAUACACAAGUGUUCUCUUUUCUGUACUUUUUUAGCUACGCUCUGUAUUCUGUGUUGUUGUACAUGGCUGUAGAGAACAAGUAUAUCAGGAGUCUCCCUUUCUA